Orcinus orca (killer whale) is the source of this 8101-nucleotide long non-coding RNA. RefSeq lists it as uncharacterized. NCBI's taxonomy places the organism in Eukaryota, Metazoa, Chordata, Mammalia, Artiodactyla, Delphinidae. The transcript has 2 exons. The record is from RefSeq and is a predicted model, not a curated record.
AAGUGUGUGCACGUGCCCUUUAAGGGCAGAGUCUUGGUUUCCUACAGCCCUCCAGCUCUCCUGGUCAUAGCCUUGCUGGUUUUCAAAACCAGUUAAGGGGAACUCGUCUUCCUGGUGCUGGUGCCCAAGGUUGGGGUGCCCAAUGUGGGUCUUGAGCCCCUCACUCCUUAGGGAGGACCUCUGAGUUUGUAAUAUCCCCUUUUGCUUGUGGGUUGCCCACCAGCGGUGUGGGUCCUGAAUAGACCACACCUCUGCCCUCAUCUCUGUCUCAAUGUGUGUGUGGUUUGUUCAUUUGUUUGUUUAGUAGCCUUAAUUAUAGAAGAGCUGUUCUGCUAGUCUUCAGGUCAUUCCCAGAGAGCGUUGUUCUUUUGGUGUGUCUGUGGGAGGAGGUGAGCUCAGGAUCUUCCUCCUCUACCAUCCAUCAGAUUCCUGAUACCUAAAUCUGAAGCAUUAUUAUACUUUUAAGAUUCAUAAACCAAGAACUGAGAGAAAAAAGGAAUGCUUUUGAUAAGGCAAGGGAAUUUUGAAAAGUAAUUCUUACUGUGAGUCCUAAACUGACUUUCCUCUCCCAAAUUAUCACAUUUCAUUUUGAGCCAGGCUAGUGCAAAAGAUGAGGUCUGGUGGUCCUUACUGCCCAAUUUGUCACAUUUUUUGCCUGCUUGAUUUGGGUCAUGGUCAGGAUGGGUGGGGUGAUGAUAGGAAUGUGUGGAUAAGGUAUGUUGUAUUAAGAAUGCAGUAUUGGAAACAAGCAGAGGACAGGAGUAGAACCAGUACAGGAGGGAUAGAGCCAAGUGGGGAAAAUGAGAGCGUGGCUCGUGCCAGGUUGUUGCAGUGUUGCCCUCUCCAGCUUUUGGUGUUGCUGUGUCAUCGAGGUGCACUCAGAGAUACCUUUGGAAAUCUCUAAUUACACUCCUUGUUAGCUUACUGGUAUGGAGCACAUUACUCAGUUUUUCCAAUCUAGUCUCCCUGCCUUUUCUCCCCCAUUCCAAUCUGUCUUUUAUGCCUCUUGCAAAGAAAUCCUUUAAAUGUCCACAUCAUGUCACACCUUCUCAAAUAUCUUUGACUUCCCAUUUCCUUUAAUCUAAAUAUAAAUUCUUCAUCUUAGUAGGUAAAGACUUAUUAUGACUAGAUUUCCUUCUUAAUUUCCCAUCCUUUCUUAAUUCGUAUUUGAAUCUCCAGCCGUGUUGAACUACUCAGUGUUACUUAACACUGGGUUAUAGGGGUUUCUAGCCUCCUUGCCUUUAUUCAUAAUAUUUCCUUUUCUAAAAUCUACAAAUCUCUUCUGUCAGAUUCUCAACAUUUCCCAAGACUCACUUAACAUUCUCUCUUUUGGGAAGCCUACUCUCUUCUCCCUUUCUGUCUUCCAACCGCAUGUCAUGCAUUCUCAUAGGAUGCUCUAUCUCCUUAAAUGUAUGUGCUACACGAUUACCCUAGUGUUAUCUUUUUUUGUGAAUUGAGUAUUUUGACCUGCUCUGGGCAUGUUUAUUCAUUCUCAAAGAAAAAGCACUGUGCCUAAGACAAGGUAGAGGAAACGAACACUAGAAAGUAAGCUCCUCUAGAAGGCAGAGGUUUUUUUCUAUUUUGUUCCUUGAUUUAUCUCUGUUAUCUGUUACAAUGUGUGGCAUAUAGUAGGAGCUCAACAAGCAUUAGCUGAAAGAAUGAAGUUGUUGAGCACUUCCAGUGUGCUAGGCACAGUGCUGAUACUUUGAUUUUAUAAACCUCCUUACAAAACUUUGUGAGGUAUGUGACGUUAUUUCCACUUUACAGAUGUGGAAACUGAGGCUCAGAAAGGCAAAGAGCUUGUGGUAGGUGGCUGACUGUGAAUCUGACUGAGCAUCAGUACCAUUUGAACAUUUUAGAGCUUGUGUUCUUUCUACUGACUGCAGAUGCAUUUGUUGUUGUUUUGAAAACAGCUGAUUAUAAUAUCACUUUAAUUCAAAAUGGAUAUGUUUUGGAGGGUGGAGAGCAUCUAGUAAUUAUUGGAACUGACCACUUAUCAUGAAUCCAAUUUAUAAUUCCAGUGAACACUAUCCACUUCUUUUUAAUAUCAUUUGUAGCUUUCAUUUGUCUCCUGUUGCUGUUUGUAUACUAUACUUAGUAAUACUUGGAAGCCUUGGUGACAAUUCAAAUACAGUCAUCCCUCCUUAUCUGUGGGGGGGGUUGGUUCCAGAACCCACCAUGGAUACCAAAAUCCACAGAUGCUCAGGUCCCAUAGUUGGCCCUCAUAUCCUCCGUUCUGUGAUUCAAGCAACCAUGGAUGGUGUAGUACUGUAUUUAUUGAAAAAAAGGUCAGCGUAUAAGUUGACCUACACAGUUCAAACCCAUGUUGUUCAAGGGUUAAGUGUGUAUGUGUUGAGACAAUUUAAGUAAUUGACAUAUAUAAUCUAUGCUUUUGUUACUUUAGGUAAUGUGCUGAAGUAAUUUUUAUCCACAGUGAAAUAAUACUUUUGUAUGGAAUAUUUAUAUCAUAUUUUAAGUGACCCAAAUGCUUCCAGAAUUGAAUCUUUAAAUAGUUUUUAGAAAUUAAUGAAACCUCUCAUUCAUUAUACAGAAAUAUUAUUUAAUAGUUCAACUAAAAUAAUGCCUGUCUUCAUCAUUUAUCCAGUAAUGCCACAUACUUAAAAAUUUUAGCCUUUUUGUUUAUUUGGUUUAUAUUUCAUAGCUCAGGUUAAUGAUCUGCAAGAGGCCUUUGGAAAACAUUUGAUGUAGUCUAUUUAGUUUUAUGAGUAUAUACCAUCUUUCAGUGCCUAAAUGCUUUCCACUUUAGCUACAAAUAACUCCACUUCCCAAUUUCUUUUUUCUUUUUUUAUCCCUUAGUCUUUUAAGCAUUUUAUUUUCUUUUGCUUUUUACAAAUUUCUGUGGUGACUAAUCCAGAAAAUAAUUGCCCUAUUUUUUGUGUAUAAAAAAGUAGUUUCACUAUUAUUUUAAAACAAUAAUAUAGGCAUCAUUGGGAUAUAAAUGAAUAGUUGCAUUAAAAUGAUAUUUAAUAGUAAUGGAAAAGAUAUACUUUAUCAUGGAGAAAAUAUACUUUGAAAUUAAAAAUAAGUCCCGUCAAAACAGACUCACAGACAUAGAAAACAAACUUAUAGUUACCAAAGGGGAAGGAGUGGGGGGAGGGAUAAAUUAGGAGUAUGGGAUUAACAGAUACACACUAAUAUAAAAUAGAUAAACAAGAAUUUACUGUAUAGCACAGGGAACGAUAUGCAAUAUCUUGUAAUAACCUAUAAUAGAAAAUAAUUUUAAAAAUGGAUGUGUGUAUGUAUAUAUGAUUAAAUCACUUUGCUGUACACCUGAAACUAACACAAUAUUGUAAAUCAACUAUACUUCAAUAAAAAAUAAAUUUUUAAAAAAGUACAGGGCUUCCCUGGUGGCGCAGUGGUUGAGAGUCCGCCUGCCGAUGCAGGGAACACGGGUUCGUGCCCCGGUCCGGGAGGAUGCCACGUGCCGCGGAGUGGCUGGGCCCGUGAGCCAUGGCCGCUGGGCCUGCGCGUCCGGAGCCUGUGCUCCGCGAUGGGAGAGGCCACAGCAGUGAGAGGCCCGCGUACUGCAAAAAAAAAAAAAAAAAAAAAAAAGUACAAAAAAAAAAGUCUCUUUAGAGCAAAUUUGAAUUGCCUAGGUCAAUGGUUUUCAAAGUACAAAAAAAUAAGUCUCUUUAGAGCAAAUUUGAAUUGCCUAGGUCAAUGGUUUUCAAAGUACAAAAAAAUAAGUCUCUUUAGAGCAAAUUUGAAUUGCCUAGGUCAAUGGUUUUCAAAGUACAAAAAAAUAAGUCUCUUUAGAGCAAAUUUGAAUUGCCUAGGUCAAUGGUUUUCAAAGUACAAAAAAAUAAGUCUCUUUAGAGCAAAUUUGAAUUGCCUAGGUCAAUGGUUUUCAAAGUACAAAAAAAUAAGUCUCCUUAGAGCAAAUUUGAAUUGCCUAGGUCAAUGGUUUUCAAAGUCUGGUCCCCAGGAGCAUCAGCAUCACUCCAAUUUAUUAGAACUGCAAAAUCACAGGCCCCACUGCAGACUGAUUGAAUCAAAUUGGGGUGAGAGCGUGUGUGUAGCAGGUGGAAUCUGUGUUUUCACAAGCUCUCCAGAUGACUCUGACCUGUGGUAGUCUGAGGACACAGGUUUAGGCUUAAGAUCCUAGAAGAGCAGCCCAUAUUCACUGUUUGGCAGGCAAGUGCCUGGUCUAUUUUCUUUCUUUGUUUUCCUUCUGUCUUAUUCUUUUGUUAUUUUAGUUUUUAAUUGAAAUACAAUUGAUUUAAAAUAUUGUAUUAGUUUCAGAUGUAUAACAUAGUGAUUCUAUAUUUUUAUAGAUUAUACUCCAUUUAAAGUUGUUAUAAUAUAUUGGCUAUAUUCUCUGUGCUGUACAGUAUAUCCUUGUAGCUUAUUUAUUUUAUACAUAGUAAUUUGUACUUCCUAAUCCCCUACCCCUAUCUUGCCCCUUUCCCUUCCCUCUCCCCACUGGUAACCACUAAUUUGUUCUCUAUAUCUGUGAGUCUCUUUGUAUUUUGUUAUAUUCAUUCCUUUUUUAUUUCUUGGAUUCUACAUAUAAGUGAUAACAUACAGAAUUUGUCUUCCUCUGCCUGACCUAAUAGCUUAAUACCCUGUAGGUCCAUCCAUGUUGUUGCAAAUAACAGAAUUUCAUUAUUUUUUAUGGCUGAGUAGUAUUCCAUUGUGUGUGUGUGUGUGUGUGUGUUUAUAUAUAUACCACAUCUUUAUCAAUUCAUCUGUUGAUGGACACUUAGGUUGCUUCCAUAUUUUGGCUAUUAUAAAUAAUGCUGCUAUGAACAUUGGGGUGCAUGUAUCUUUUUGAAUUAGUGUUUUCAUUUUCUUUAGAUGUAUACCCAGGAGUGGAAUUGCUGGAUCAUAUGGUGCCUUUUUGAGGAACCUCCAUCCUGUUUUCAUAGUGGCUGCAUGAAUUUACAUUCCCACCAACAGUGUACUAGGGUUGCUUUUUCUCCACAUCCUUGCCAACAUUUGUUAUUUGUAGACUUUUUGGUGAUAGCCAUCCUAACAGGUGUGAGGUGAUACCUUAUUGUGGUUUUAAUUUGCAUUUCUUUGAUUAGCGAUGUUGAGUAUCUUUUCACAUGCCUGUUAGCAAUCUCGUCUUCUUCAGAAAAAUGUCUGUUCAAGCCUUCUGCCCAUUUUUGAUUGGAUUGGUUUUUUCCUUUAUAUUGAGCUGUAUGAGCUGUUUAUAUAUUUUAGAUAUUGACUGCUUAUUGGUCAUAUCAUUUGUAAAUAUUUUCUCGCAUUCAGUGUGUUGUCUUCUCAUUUUGUUGAUGGUUUCCUUUGCUGUGCAAAAGCUUUUAAGUUUAGUUAGGUCCCAUUUGUUUAUUUUUGCUUUUGUUUCCUUUGCCUUAGGAGACAGAUCCAAAUAAAUAUCGUUUAGGACUUUGAUCCAUUUUGAGUUUUUUUUUUUUUUUUUUUUUUUUUUUUUUUGCCGUACGCGGUCCUCUCACUACUGUGGCCUCUCCCGUUGCGGAGCACAGGCUCCAGACGCGCAGGCUCAUUGGCCGUGGCUCACGGGCCCAGCCGCUCCGCGGCAUGUGGGAUCUUCCCGGACUGGGGCACAAACCCGUGUCCCCUGCAUCGGCAGGCGGACUCUCAACCACUGCGCCACCAGGGAAGCCCCUUGAGUUUAUUUUUUAUAUGGUGUGUGAAAAUGUUCUAAUUUUAUUCUUUUAUGUGUAGCUGUCCAGUUAUCCCAGCACCACUUAUUGAAGGGACUGUCUUUUCUACGUUGUAUAUUCUUGCCUCCUUUGUCACAGAUUAAUUGACCAUAUGUGUGUGGGGUUAUUUCUGGGCUCUUUAUUCUGUUCCACUGAUCUACGUGUCUGUUUUUGGGCCAGUCCAUACUCUUUUGAUUGCUGCUGCUUUGUAGUAUAGUCUGAAGUCAAGGAUCAUGAUGCCUCCAGCUUUUGUUCUUUUUUCUCAAAAUUGCUUUGGCUGGUCUACUUGAUUUUAUUUUACUUAGUGAAUAGUGUUUUUUUUUUUUUUUUGUCUGCCUUGGGUCUUUGUUGCCGCACGCAGGCUUUUCCCUAGUUGUGGUGAGCAGGGGUGCUACUCUUUGUUGCGGUGCGCGGGCUUCUCAUUGUGGUGGUUUCUCUCGUUGCAGGGCAUGGCCUCUAGGCAGGUGGACUCAGUAGUUGUGGCUCACAGGUUCUAGAGCGCAGGCUCAGUAGUUGUGGCACACGGGCUUAGUUGCCUGCGGCAUGUGGGAAAUUCCUGAACCAGGGCUUGAACCUGCGUCCCCUGCAUUGGCAGGUGGAUUCUUAACCACUGCGCCACCAGGGAAGACCUGGCUGGUCUACUUUAAAAGGCCUCUAGAAAAGAUGAUUCCAUUGACUUUUCUGUAUAGCAUUUCAAAUAGCUCUGUGAUACCACUGAACUGGCUUCAAUAACCAGUAAUUUAAGACAGAAAACUUACAAAACAGUCCAAAAAGACAGUGUUUAAUAUCAAUACUUAAAGAUUUGUGUUGGCUGGUUUUAUGUUAUUAUUUACUUCCUGGCAACAAAUUCCCUUCCCAAAACAUAAUUAAAAUGAACGUUUUUUCAUAAGGGGAGAAAGGGGGAAUGUUUUUUCCCAUCCUUUGAUCUUGGGUAUAUUUUUGGAGAAUGGUUAAAAGAAGCAGAUGUGAAUUCUUAUGACUCUCAGUAGAGAGUUUGUGUCUAGGAAAUCAAGUUUUCCCUGAGUGUCUUUGUAGAGGUGGGGAAUAAUAUUGUUUCCUACUGUGAGCAUUAAAAUUGUUAUCAAUUAAUUCUAUAUAGAGUUCCAGCAUAAAAGUGUUUCCAUACUGCAUCUGUAUUCAACAUAGGCUGUAUUCUUUUAAUACACUUUAGAUUCAGUCAGGUCAGAUUCUCUCACUUAUUGCUGGAAAUUUUGAUUGUCAGCUUUCUUUACCCUAUCAGGCCCAUGUGAUGUUGAACAUGGUCACUUCAUAAUAUUGUAGAUUGGUCAUGUCAUGGAGAUAUUAGGAAUCAGCAGAAAGAAUCUCGAAAUAGUUUCUUAAGUAGGAAUUAAAACCUGAUCUACAACUGUGUUUUUCUCCCACUGACUUUAAUUUCUAAAAUAAAGAGCAAUGAAGGAGAUAUGUGAGAAGCAUAACAGACUUGUUUUUGAGAUUACUUUGAUAUCUAGAAACAUAUAUCCUCUACAUAAGUAUAAACUAUUUUACUGUAACAAUUAUCUGAACUUUCUUUUGCAGAAUAUCAUUUAAAUUCUGUUUCAAACCUAAAUUUCAUUAAGAAGAAAAUCUCCUAAAACCAUGUAGCCAUUUAAGUAAGCUCUCUCUUAAAAACUUAACCCGCCAUAUCUGUUAGAUAUUUUUAAUAAUUGUCUUUUGUCCAAAAGAGACCUGAAUGCUUUACUUGGCUUUGCAACAUUUUUAAUUACAUUCAAAACUUUUUGGCAAGGACACAUAUAUACAUUGCCUUUACAAUGAAGUUUAUAUACUCAGUUAUGUUCUUCUUGUUUUCUCUGAUAUAAUAUGGAGAAUUUUUAGUAGUACAUACACAUGCUGCUUGUGGACUUGGAUGUGGAUGUUCUUUUUCAGUGUUGAGGCAGCAUGCUUGUUUUGCACUUUUUAAGGCUGUUCUUAAAACAAAAACUUAAAGGAUUGCAUCUUUUCCCUACAUUUAGAAGCAAUACAUUAACUUCUGUCUAUGCUUUUCUCUACCAUAAGCAUAGGCUUCAUGAUUAAAUGAAGUUGGAUAGGUUUUGUGUGAUUAGAGUUUUGGAAUAGUUUUUGAUUAAAUAAAGAUCUGUCUUCUAAUUAUAAACUAAAUACAUAUGUUCAUGGUAAAAAAAAUAAAAAUACAAAUGAUACUUUAGAAUCAUCUACUAAUAUAUUGCCUCAAAAUAACCAGUGUUAGAGUUUUAAAAAAUAUUUAAUUCCAAAUUUAUAUAUAUAAAUAGAUACACACAAACACAUAUUCUGUUUGAGAUCAUACUUAUAUACAGGUCUAAAUCAUGGUUUAAAACCUUAUAGGGAAUUCCCCAGUAGUCCAGUGGUUUUCACUGUGCACUCUCACUGCCAGGGCCCCAGGUUCAAUCCCUGGUCAGGGAACUGGGAUCCUGCAAGCUGCAGGGGAUGGCCAAAAAAAAAAAAAAAACCAAACA